Molecule: ribosomal RNA, 465 nt
Filed under: Vreelandella stevensii
Lineage: Bacteria; Pseudomonadati; Pseudomonadota; Gammaproteobacteria; Oceanospirillales; Halomonadaceae
Description: partial 16S ribosomal RNA
Rfam family: Bacterial small subunit ribosomal RNA
Source: RNAcentral
CCUACGGGGGGCUGCAGUGGGGAAUAUUGGACAAUGGGGGGAACCCUGAUCCAGCCAUGCCGCGUGUGUGAAGAAGGCCCUCGGGUUGUAAAGCACUUUCAGUGAGGAAGAACGCCUGGUGGUUAAUACCCAUCAGGAAAGACAUCACUCACAGAAGAAGCACCGGCUAACUCCGUGCCAGCAGCCGCGGUAAUACGGAGGGUGCGAGCGUUAAUCGGAAUUACUGGGCGUAAAGCGCGCGUAGGUGGCUCGAUAAGCCGGUUGUGAAAGCCCCGGGCUCAACCUGGGAACGGCAUCCGGAACUGUCAAGCUAGAGUGCAGGAGAGGAAGGUAGAAUUCCCGGUGUAGCGGUGAAAUGCGUAGAGAUCGGGAGGAAUACCAGUGGCGAAGGCGGCCUUCUGGACUGACACUGACACUGAGGUGCGAAAGCGUGGGUAGCAAACAGGAUUAGAUACCCCAGUAGUC